This 421-nucleotide ribosomal RNA is filed under the name uncultured bacterium. RNAcentral's name for it is "SSU rRNA". It matches the Rfam family "Bacterial small subunit ribosomal RNA", at positions 40 to 465 of the family's 1533-position model. The record is from RNAcentral.
CGGCAUGCUUUACACAUGCAAGUCGAACGGUAACAGGCCGCAAGGUGCUGACGAGUGGCGAACGGGUGAGUAAUGCAUCGGAACGUGCCCGGUCGUGGGGGAUAACACUUCGAAAGAAGUGCUAAUACCGCAUACGAUCUAUGGAUGAAAGCGGGGGACCGUAAGGCCUCGCGCGAUCGGAGCGGCCGAUGUCAGAUUAGGUAGUUGGUGGGGUAAAGGCUCACCAAGCCAACGAUCUGUAGCUGGUCUGAGAGGACGACCAGCCACACUGGGACUGAGACACGGCCCAGACUCCUACGGGAGGCAGCAGUGGGGAAUUUUGGACAAUGGGCGCAAGCCUGAUCCAGCAAUGCCGCGUGCAGGAAGAAGGCCUUCGGGUUGUAAACUGCUUUUGUACGGAACGAAAAGGUCCUGGCUAAUA